RNAcentral lists this ribosomal RNA (292 nucleotides) under uncultured bacterium. RNAcentral's name for it is "partial 16S ribosomal RNA". It matches the Rfam family "Bacterial small subunit ribosomal RNA", at positions 505 to 796 of the family's 1533-position model. The record is from RNAcentral.
GUGCCAGCCGCCGCGGUAAUGCGUAGGGUGCGAGCGUUAAUCGGAAUUACUGGGCGUAAAGCGUGCGUAGGCGGUUUACUAAGUCAGAUGUGAAAGCCCCGGGCUUAACCUGGGAACUGCAUUUGAUACUGGUAGGCUAGAGUAUGAUAGAGGGGGGUAGAAUUCCUGGUGUAGCGGUGAAAUGCGUAGAUAUCAGGAGGAAUACCAGUGGCGAAGGCGGCCCCCUGGAUCAAUACUGACGCUGAGGUACGAAAGCGUGGGUAGCGAACAGGAUUAGAAACCCCAGUAGUCC